CCUACGGGUGGCAGCAGUGAGGAAUAUUGGUCAAUGGGCGUAAGCCUGAACCAGCCAAGCCGCGUGAGGGAUGAAGGUUCUAUGGAUCGUAAACCUCUUUUAUAAGGGAAUAAAGUGUGGGACGUGUCCUAUUUUGUAUGUACCUUAUGAAUAAGGAUCGGCUAACUCCGUGCCAGCAGCCGCGGUAAUACGGAGGAACCGAGCGUUAUCCGGAUUUAUUGGGUUUAAAGGGUGCGUAGGCGGGCUGUUAAGUCAGCGGUGAAAGUCUGUGGCUAAACCAACGAAUGGCAGUUGAAACUGGGGGUCUUGAGUAUGUGUGAGGAAGGCGGAAUGCGUGGUGUAGCGGUGAAAUGCGUAGAUAUCACGAAGAACCCCGAUUGCGAAGG
RNAcentral lists this ribosomal RNA (386 nucleotides) under uncultured bacterium. RNAcentral's name for it is "partial 16S ribosomal RNA". It matches the Rfam family "Bacterial small subunit ribosomal RNA", at positions 338 to 721 of the family's 1533-position model. The record is from RNAcentral.